UGGUGUUAAGAAGCAAGAUAUCCGCUCUCCAUCGUCUCAGCAGGAUUUCAAGCAG
Molecule: transfer RNA, 55 nt
Filed under: Bigelowiella sp. RCC560
Lineage: Eukaryota; Cercozoa; Chlorarachniophyceae
Description: partial tRNA
Source: RNAcentral